AAUAUUGGACAAUGGGCGAAAGCCUGAUCCAGCCAUGCCGCGUGUGUGAAGAAGGACUUCGGAUUGUAAAGUACUUUAAGUUGGGAGGAAGGGCAGUAAGUUAAUACCUUGCUGUUUUGACGUUACCGACAGAUUAAGCAUCGGCUAACUUCGUGCCAGCAGCCGCGGUAAUACGAUGGGUGCAAGCGUUAAUCGGAAUUACUGGGCGUAAAGCGCGCGUAGGUGGUUUGUUAAGUUGGAAGUGAAAGCCCCGGGCUCAACCUGGGAACUGCUUUCAAAACUGGCAAGCUAGAGUACGGUAGAGGGUAGUGGAAUUUCCUGUGUAGCGGUGAAAUGCGUAGAUAUAGGAAGGAACAUCAGUGGCGAAGGCGACUACCUGGACUGAUACUGACACUGAGGUGCGAAAGCGUGGGGAGCAAACAGG
RNAcentral lists this ribosomal RNA (424 nucleotides) under uncultured bacterium. RNAcentral's name for it is "partial 16S ribosomal RNA". It matches the Rfam family "Bacterial small subunit ribosomal RNA", at positions 360 to 776 of the family's 1533-position model. The record is from RNAcentral.